Long non-coding RNA from Myodes glareolus (Bank vole), 617 nucleotides. RefSeq lists it as uncharacterized. NCBI's taxonomy places the organism in Eukaryota, Metazoa, Chordata, Mammalia, Rodentia, Cricetidae. The record is from RefSeq and is a predicted model, not a curated record.
UAGGAAAGGGCCAAGGAGCUAGGGGCCUGCACUGCCCAUUGGCAGAGGCCCUGGCUAGAGCCCUCCUUCCAAGCCUGCACUCCUGUGAUGGGAGGAACAGUGGAGCCUGUUGCUAAGAGACAACUCUCAUCCCCCCUCCCCACCACCAUCAGGGAAUCCAUUCUAGAAUUACAACUUCCAAUGAGGUCUCUGGCCUUGGGUACUGGGGAUAAAGAAGGCAAGCUGAUAGAGAGCCCUCCUGAGGAUCAAGGCCAGUGUAUUGCUAGAGAAGCCUGGAAAACACGAGGGACCCCUAAGACUGUGCCCUCUCCGUGCCCAAACAGGCUUCAGUUCUCUCACAAAUCGCCUCAGAGCACUAAGGAUGCAGACUGAGGAUCAGAGCAGUUGGCUGGGGAGGACCCGGAAGACUAGAUUACUACUUCAUCAGACACAGCACAGUACUGUGUGCGGCUAGAUGUGUUUCGGGAUGAGGAUGUGAGCUCGCUUCUUCUGGAGGCAGGACAGCUACCGCGUAAGUCUGUGAUGGAUGGCUGUGUUGGGACGAACAGGGAAAACGGUCUAAAUUAUUCAGCAGUUAAGCAGAAAGCUGUGUGUGUUUAAUAAACUGCUAUACUGUA